RNAcentral lists this ribosomal RNA (254 nucleotides) under uncultured bacterium. RNAcentral describes it as "partial 16S ribosomal RNA". It matches the Rfam family "Bacterial small subunit ribosomal RNA", at positions 524 to 776 of the family's 1533-position model. The record is from RNAcentral.
UACGGGGGGAGCAAGCGUUGUUCGGAUUUACUGGGCGUAAAGGGCGCGUAGGCGGUUAGCACAAGUCAGUUGUGAAAUCUCCGAGCUUAACUCGGAAAGGUCAACUGAUACUGUGCGACUAGAGUGCGGAAGGGGCAACUGGAAUUCUUGGUGUAGCGGUGAAAUGCGUAGAUAUCAAGAGGAACACCUGCGGCGAAGGCGGGUUGCUGGGCCGACACUGACGCUGAAGCGCGAAAGCCAGGGGAGCGAACGGG